UGGGGAAUAUUGCACAAUGGAGGGAACUCUGAUGCAGCGACGCCGCGUGAGUGAUGAAGGAAUUCGUUUCGUAAAACUCUGUUCUAUGGGAAGAAAAGGACUGUACCAUAGGAGAAAGCUCCGGCUAAAUACGUGCAAGCAGCCGCGGUAAUACGUAUGGAGCGAGCGUUGUCCGGAAUUAUUGGGCGUAAAGGGUGCGCAGGCGGCUUUACAAGUUGGAUGUGAAAUAUUGUGGCUCAACCACAAACGUGCAUCCAAAACUGCAAAGCUUGAGUUAAGGAGAGGUAAGUGGAAUUCCUGGUGUAGCGGUGGAAUGCGUAGAUAUCAGGAGGAAUACCGGUGGCGAAGGCGACUUACUGGACUUAAACUGACGCUCAGGCACGAAAGCGUGGGGAGCAAACAGG
RNAcentral lists this ribosomal RNA (404 nucleotides) under Fusobacteriota bacterium. Its description in RNAcentral is "Fusobacteria bacterium partial 16S ribosomal RNA". It matches the Rfam family "Bacterial small subunit ribosomal RNA", at positions 355 to 776 of the family's 1533-position model. The record is from RNAcentral. Lineage: Bacteria; Fusobacteriati; Fusobacteriota.